RNAcentral lists this ribosomal RNA (253 nucleotides) under uncultured bacterium. RNAcentral's name for it is "partial 16S ribosomal RNA". It matches the Rfam family "Bacterial small subunit ribosomal RNA", at positions 524 to 776 of the family's 1533-position model. The record is from RNAcentral.
UACGUAGGGGGCUAGCGUUGUCCGGAAUCAUUGGGCGUAAAGCGCGCGUAGGCGGACCGGUAAGUCCGCUGUAAAAGUCAAAGGCUCAACCUUUGAAUGUCAGUGGAUACUGCCGGGCUAGAGUCCGGAAGAGGCGAGUGGAACUCCUGGUGUAGCGGUGGAAUGCGCAGAUAUCAGGAAGAACACCGUCGGCGAAGGCAGCUCGCUGGGACGGUACUGACGCUGAGGCGCGAAAGCGUGGGGAGCGAACAGG